This is a long non-coding RNA of Aegilops tauschii subsp. strangulata, 451 nucleotides long. RefSeq lists it as uncharacterized. NCBI's taxonomy places the organism in Eukaryota, Viridiplantae, Streptophyta, Magnoliopsida, Poales, Poaceae. The record is from RefSeq and is a predicted model, not a curated record.
CUCUGGUAUGCCGUCGCGCCUCCGCUGCCACCUAGGGUGCCCCUGACGUCGCCCAGCUCCUCCUCACGCGACGACCCCCUGCGACACACGCCUCCUUGAUGUUCUGCCCCGGACACGGGCGCCUCCCCGUCCACCCUCCGGUGACCGAAACCAGCUCCGCCCGCCGUAGCAGAGGACAGGCCCCGUUCGUGGCCUCCCCUCCCCUCCGCCCGGGUGCGACCUUCCCUGCGCUCUGGCGCGGCCUGCCCUCCCCUCUGGUGCGACCUGCUCUCUGGUACGGCCCGCCCUCCUCCAGCACACCUGCACUCUGCUCCGUCGGCGCAACGACCGAGCACCAUACCUCCCUCCUCUCUCCCACUAGGACGACAGUGUAGUUUGCAGGAAAAAUAAAAGAAACCGCUUUCUACAUGCAAAAGGGCAUCAAAUUUUGGAAGAAGUAUGGCGUUGAAUG